AGAACGAACGCUGGCGGCAUGCCUAACACAUGCAAGUCGAACGAGACCUUCGGGUCUAGUGGCGCACGGGUGCGUAACGCGUGGGAAUCUGCCCUUAGGUUCGGAAUAACUCAGGGAAACUUGAGCUAAUACCGGAUGAUGUCGCAAGACCAAAGAUUUAUCGCCUAAGGAUGAGCCCGCGUAGGAUUAGCUUGUUGGUGAGGUAAAGGCUCACCAAGGCUACGAUCCUUAGCUGGUCUGAGAGGAUGAUCAGCCACACUGGGACUGAGACACGGCCCAGACUCCUACGGGAGGCAGCAGUGGGGAAUAUUGGACAAUGGGCGCAAGCCUGAUCCAGCCAUGCCGCGUGAGUGAUGAAGGCCUUAGGGUUGUAAAGCUCUUUCAGUAGGGAAGAUAAUGACGGUACCUACAGAAGAAGCCCGGCUAACUUCGCGCCAGCAGCCGC
This 445-nucleotide ribosomal RNA is filed under the name uncultured bacterium. Its description in RNAcentral is "SSU rRNA". It matches the Rfam family "Bacterial small subunit ribosomal RNA", at positions 26 to 518 of the family's 1533-position model. The record is from RNAcentral.